NNNGACCUCAGAUCAGGCAAGACUACCCGCUGAACUUAAGCAUAUCAAUAAGCGGAGGAAAAGAAACUAACAAGGAUUCCCUUAGUAACGGCGAGCGAAGUGGGAAUAGCUCAAGCUUAAAUCUCCGAAGCUUGCUUCGGCGAAUUGUAGUCUGUGGAAGUGUUAUCUGGCAGUAUGUUUUGGGUCUAAGUUGCCUGGAACGGCACGUCAUAGAGGGUGAUAACCCCGUCUUUGACUUACAACAGCUGUCAAUGAGGCGCUUUCCGAGAGUCGGGCUGUUUGAGAGUGCAGCCUAAAUUGGGUGGUAGACUCCAUCUAAAGCUAAAUAUUGACGCGAGACCGAUAGCGAACAAGUACCGUGAGGGAAAGA
Molecule: ribosomal RNA, 370 nt
Filed under: Trichoplax adhaerens
Lineage: Eukaryota; Metazoa; Placozoa; Uniplacotomia; Trichoplacea; Trichoplacidae
Description: eukaryotic LSU rRNA
Rfam family: Eukaryotic large subunit ribosomal RNA
Source: RNAcentral